RNAcentral lists this ribosomal RNA (425 nucleotides) under uncultured bacterium. Its description in RNAcentral is "partial 16S ribosomal RNA". It matches the Rfam family "Bacterial small subunit ribosomal RNA", at positions 354 to 796 of the family's 1533-position model. The record is from RNAcentral.
GUGGGGAAUCUUGCGCAAUGGGUGAAAGCCUGACGCAGCCAUGCCGCGUGAAUGAUGAAGGUCUUAGGAUUGUAAAAUUCUUUCACCGGGGACGAUAAUGACGGUACCCGGAGAAGAAGCCCCGGCUAACUUCGUGCCAGCAGCCGCGGUAAUACGAAGGGGGCUAGCGUUGCUCGGAAUUACUGGGCGUAAAGGGCGCGUAGGCGGACAGUUUAGUCAGAGGUGAAAGCCCAGGGCUCAACCUUGGAAUUGCCUUUGAUACUGGCUGUCUUGAGUACGGGAGAGGUGAGUGGAACUCCGAGUGUAGAGGUGAAAUUCGUAGAUAUUCGGAAGAACACCAGUGGCGAAGGCGACUCACUGGCCCGUUACUGACGCUGAGGCGCGAAAGCGUGGGGAGCAAACAGGAUUAGAAACCCGUGUAGUCC